This 67-nucleotide transfer RNA is filed under the name Varanus exanthematicus. RNAcentral's name for it is "tRNA-Thr". It matches the Rfam family "tRNA". From Rfam's summary of the family: Transfer RNA (tRNA) molecules are approximately 80 nucleotides in length. Their secondary structure includes four short double-helical elements and three loops (D, anti-codon, and T loops). The record is from RNAcentral. Lineage: Eukaryota; Metazoa; Chordata; Lepidosauria; Squamata; Varanidae.
GUCUCAGUAGCUUAACAAUAAAGCAUUGGUUUUGUAAACCAAAGCUGGUGAAUUACUCCCUGGGACA